This 425-nucleotide ribosomal RNA is filed under the name uncultured bacterium. RNAcentral's name for it is "bacterial SSU rRNA". It matches the Rfam family "Bacterial small subunit ribosomal RNA", at positions 355 to 775 of the family's 1533-position model. The record is from RNAcentral.
UCUAGAGGCUUCCGCAAUGGGGGAAACCCUGACGGAGCGACGCCGCGUGUGGGAUGAAGUCUUUCGGGAUGUAAACCACUUUCGCUGGGGAAGAAGGCCCUGGUCGUGAACCAGGGAUUGACGGUACCCGGUAAAGAAGCCCCGGCUAAGUCCGUGCCAGCAGCCGCGGUAAUACGGGCGGGGCAAGCGUUGUUCGGAUUUAUUGGGCGUAAAGGGCGCGUAGGCGGUCAUUUAAGUCUGGUGUGAAAUCUCCACCGCUCAACGGGGAGUGUGCACUGGAAACUGGGUGACUUGAGGCCAUGAGAGGAAAGCGGAAUUCCUGGUGUAGCGGUGAAAUGCGUAGAUAUCAGGAAGAACACCGGUGGCGAAGGCGGCUUUCUGGCAUGGUUCUGACGCUGAGGCGCGAAAGCGUGGGGAGCAAACAG